CCACAAUGAUGAGCUUCCACUUCUGGUCCGUGUUUAUGAAUGCUGUGAUUUUUGUAUGAAGUUCUGAGUCA
Small nucleolar RNA from Clarias gariepinus (North African catfish), 71 nucleotides. RefSeq annotates it as small nucleolar RNA SNORD18. Lineage: Eukaryota; Metazoa; Chordata; Actinopteri; Siluriformes; Clariidae. The record is from RefSeq and is a predicted model, not a curated record. The transcript has a single exon.